This 481-nucleotide unclassified non-coding RNA is filed under the name Hevea brasiliensis (rubber tree). The record is from RNAcentral. Lineage: Eukaryota; Viridiplantae; Streptophyta; Magnoliopsida; Malpighiales; Euphorbiaceae.
CUGGAGGGUUCAUUUUAGGCAGGAGUUGUCUUUUUCUUCUGCUGUACGGUCGACGCAACCGGAUCUCUUUCCUGGGAAGAAAAUUAUAAUUAGACUCUGUAUUUCUUUCUCUUUCCCAAUAUCCGGAAAUGGCGGGUGGAGUGAACAGGAAGAUAUCUGCGGCUUCCGCUAGAGCUCACACUAGACGAGCUAAGCAAAACAGUUCUCUUAAGCUUCCUCCUGGGAUUUUUUCAAAAAUACUAUUGGUCUUGCUUGUGGGGAUUUUGGCUUGGGCUUAUCAGGUGAUCCGACCUCCUCCACCCAAGGUGUGUGGUUCACCAGGUGGGCCUCCUAUUACAGCACCAAGAAUAAAACUUAGAGAUGGGAGACAUUUGGCCUACAAAGAACAUGGUGUCUCAAAAAAUAUGGCCAAGUUUAAAAUUAUAGUUGUCCAUGGUUUUGGUUCUUGCAGGCACAAUCCUGCUGUUGCCAAUCACCUUUC